UACGUAGGGUGCAAGCGUUGUCCGGAAUUAUUGGGCGUAAAGAGCUCGUAGGCGGCUUGUUGCGUCAGCUGUGAAAACCCGCAGCUCAACUGUGGGCUUGCAGCUGAUACGGGCAGGCUUGAGUUCGGUAGGGGAGACUGGAAUUCCUGGUGUAGCGGUGAAAUGCGCAGAUAUCAGGAGGAACACCGGUGGCGAAGGCAGCCUUCUGGGCCAACACUGACGCUCAUGCACGAAAGCGUGGGGAGCAAACAGG
This 253-nucleotide ribosomal RNA is filed under the name uncultured bacterium. Its description in RNAcentral is "partial 16S ribosomal RNA". It matches the Rfam family "Bacterial small subunit ribosomal RNA", at positions 524 to 776 of the family's 1533-position model. The record is from RNAcentral.